AUACAGAUGAGGUGUUUUGUC
RNAcentral lists this microRNA (21 nucleotides) under Ananas comosus (pineapple). Its description in RNAcentral is "microRNA s0395_c45a". The record is from RNAcentral. Lineage: Eukaryota; Viridiplantae; Streptophyta; Magnoliopsida; Poales; Bromeliaceae.